GCCCUUGUUUACUUCGCGAAUUUGGGAGGUGCCAAAUUACUGUAGCAACACUGUAGCGUUUCGUUUGUAUUUGUGAAUUAUUGUCCAAAUAUUGACUAAUUAGGCUCAAAAGAUUCGUCUCGCAAAGUACAACAAAACUGUGCAAAUAGUUUUUGAUUUCGUCUACAUUUAGUACUCCAUACAUGUACCGCAAGUUUGAUGUGAUAGGGAAUCUUCUUUUUGCAUAGUGUCAAAGUUGGGAGUUUGGAGGUAAGAGAACAAGGGCUA
Molecule: long non-coding RNA, 267 nt
Filed under: Setaria italica (foxtail millet)
Lineage: Eukaryota; Viridiplantae; Streptophyta; Magnoliopsida; Poales; Poaceae
Description: long non-coding RNA (SITA_LNC000261)
Source: RNAcentral